This 380-nucleotide ribosomal RNA is filed under the name uncultured eukaryote. Its description in RNAcentral is "partial 18S ribosomal RNA". It matches the Rfam family "Eukaryotic small subunit ribosomal RNA", at positions 592 to 976 of the family's 1831-position model. The record is from RNAcentral.
CAAUAGCGUAUAUUAAAGUUGUUGCGGUUAAAAAGCUCGUAGUUGGAUUUCUGCUGAGGACGAUCGGUCCGCCCUCUGGGUGAGUAUCUGGCUCGGCCUUGGCAUCUUCUUGGAGAACGUUACUGCACUUGACUGUGUGGUGCGGUAUCCAGGACUUUUACUUUGAGGAAAUUAGAGUGUUUCAAGCAGGCGCACGCCUUGAAUACAUUAGCAUGGAAUAAUAAGAUAGGACCUUGGUUCUAUUUUGUUGGUUUCUAGAGCUGAGGUAAUGAUUAAUAGGGAUAGUUGGGGGCAUUCGUAUUUAACUGUCAGAGGUGAAAUUCUUGGAUUUGUUAAGGACGGACUACUGCGAAAGCAUUUGCCAAGGAUGUUUUCAUUGA